Molecule: ribosomal RNA, 253 nt
Filed under: uncultured bacterium
Lineage: Bacteria
Description: partial 16S ribosomal RNA
Rfam family: Bacterial small subunit ribosomal RNA
Source: RNAcentral
GACGAACCGUGCGAACGUUGUUCGGAUUCACUGGGCUUAAAGGGCGCGUAGGCGGGCGAUCAAGUCAGGGGUGAAAUCUUUCGGCUCAACCGGAAAAGGGCCUUUGAUACUGGUCGCCUCGAGGGAGGUAGGGGCAUGCGGAACUUCCGGUGGAGCGGUGAAAUGCGUAGAUAUCGGAAGGAACGCCGGUGGCGAAAGCGGCGUGCUGGACCUCUUCUGACGCUGAGGCGCGAAAGCCAGGGGAGCGAACGGG